UUUCCGUAGUGAACCUGCGGAAGGAUCAUUAAUAAAUGGUCUACGUUUUUUAAGUAGACGCUUAAUAAUCUACCCUUGUGAAUUUGUUGUUUUGAAAUAAUUUUUUUUUAAAAUUAUUGAUUGUCUCUCCCUGUUGAAUUGGUUGUCUUAAUGGCAAAUGAUUCGCAGGGGAGUGUCAGUAAUUUUUAAAAAGACCUUUUUUAAAAUUAAACUUUUGUACUCAUUUGUCUAAAAUUAUUUUAUAAUAUAAAACAACUUUGACAAUGGAUCUCUUGGUUCUCGCAACGAUGAAGAACGCAGCAAAUGCGAUAAGUAGUGUGAAUUGCAGAAUACGUGAAUCAUCGAAUCUUCGAACGCAUAUUGCACUUUUUAGUUUACUAAAGAAGUAUGUCUGUUGAUAUCAGUAAAUAUUCUCAUAGAAACUUUUUGUUUUAUGGUUAUGAUGUUUACAACGAUACAAGUUGUUUCACUUUAAAUUUUUUUAAAUUUGAAUUUUCUAAUUUUAAAAUAAAAUUGGAUAAAUUUCCCGUAAAAAAGAAUAACCUAAACAAUUUUAAUUUUGAUAGAAUUCUUCAAUAUAAAGAAAUUUAACUAAUAACUUGAUCUCAAAUCAGAUAAGAGUACCCGCUGAACUUAAGCAUAUCAAUAAGCGGAGGAAAAGAAACUAACAGGAUUCCUUAGUAACGGCGAGUGAAGCGGAAGAGCUCAAUUUGAAAUCUUCAAGUUUACCUUGACGAAUUGUAGUUUAAAGAAGUGUUUUCUGUUGAGUUUUGGUAAAGUUCUUUGGAAUAGACAUCAUAGAGGGUGAGAAUCCGUAUUUGACCAUUAUUUCAGCUGUGUGAUACACUUUCAAAGAGUCGAUUGUUUGGGAAUGCAGUCCAAAAUGGUGGUAAAUUUCAUCUAAACUAAAUAUUGGCGAGAGACCGAUAGCGAACAAGUACGUGAGGGAAAGAUGAAAAGAACUUUGAAAAGAGAGUUAACAGUACGUGAAAUUGUCAAAAGGAAGCGUUGACACCAGUGUCGUUUUCUCGAAAAUCAAUUAAAAAAGUUGGAUUUGUGUUGUAUUGACCUUAACAGCUUGCUUCACUCUUUCUGCUUUUUUUAAUGCACUUUCGUUUAACAAGUCAACAUCAGUUUCUUUGUUGUAAAAGGUCAUUGGAAGGUGGCUUUCUCUUCGGAGAAAGUGUUAUAGCCUUUGAUCUCUGCGAUCGGAGAGA
This 1217-nucleotide unclassified non-coding RNA is filed under the name uncultured Neocallimastigales. RNAcentral's name for it is "partial contains small subunit ribosomal RNA, internal transcribed spacer 1, 5.8S ribosomal RNA, internal transcribed spacer 2, and large subunit ribosomal RNA". The stretch from base 601 to 1217 matches the Rfam family "Eukaryotic large subunit ribosomal RNA", at positions 1 to 631 of the family's 3401-position model. The record is from RNAcentral. Lineage: Eukaryota; Fungi; Neocallimastigomycota; Neocallimastigomycetes; Neocallimastigales.